UUGAGAUGUGACAUGAAAGAAAAUAACAGAAAUGAUUUUUCCAUCCCAUCCUCAGGGACCAGUGGGAAUGAAUUUUACCAUCCCACCCUCAAGGGCCAGGUUGGAAGUGAUAUUGGUGGAAGACAACAUUUUGCCGCUUGGAAUUCUCACCUCCACACCAAAGAAGUACUGUUUUUGUCAUUUGCACCAGCUUCUUUCUCCAGGAAAGAUCAAAACGAUGCACUGCAAGGGUGAUUGGUCCAGAUAGCUGCCUUAUCCAACUGCCUCCUUUGGACCACUUCAUCAUGGGACAGCUUGAUGCAAUCUACUUGACAAGACCCUGGAACCCCACACCCCUCAUGGAACCAGUGUCCACCUCCCAGUCACAGUGUGACCCCAGGGAACUCUUGCCUGCUUGCUUUAAACCCACCACUUAAAAGUCUCCACAGAAAACCUGUUUGAAUAGUACCCUUGACCCAAUAAGGGCAUUGGCCCCUGGGUGUCUCUCUCUCUCUCUCUCUCUCUCUCUCCCUCUCUCUCCCUCUCUCUCUCUCGCUCCCUGACCUCUGCGUGUGGACUCCAGGCAUGCCAUAUACCCCUCAGGACCUGUGGCUUCAGAGGUUAUUAGCACAUCUGUUUGAGAUAUGCACAGUUUUACAUUUGUCCCUUAGGUAAUCAACAGGGCUGAGAUCAGUAAAUCACAUGUAAGCCCAAAUCAUAGAUCAAGAUAUUUUAUUUAUGUAUGUCUUUUAAAUGAAGAGUGGUUAGGAUAGUCCUGAUUAUUGCACAUAAAUAUUGCCUUUCACUAGAUUAUUGUUUUGGGCCAAAUUUUAGACUAUUAUUUUAAAAAAGAGUACCUUAGUUUAAUCCAACCUUUCCAGAUACUUAGAAAUUAUUGAAAUGUAUAUUUUGUGAAGAUGGUCUUAUGAAAGUUGUUGAGCUAGAAACAUGUCCUUCACCAGUGGAAUUCUUAGAAGCUUUCCUUGGGCUUCACUGGGUGCUAAUAGACCAUGAUCGUAUUGCUCUGUAUAUAAUGGUACAAAUUUUGUUUUAUAACACUCAGUCUUAAUAGAAUGGGAAUAUUUUAUCUUACUAACGUAGUCAUUAGCUGGCCACUCUCUGUGUCCAUUGGACCUUAUAGGGUAAAGGGAGGGCAGUGCGUAUUUGAAGCCUGUGCACGUGACACACAAAGGGCUUAGCAACCUCCGUGUUUUCCCAGCACAGGAUACCCAUUCUUCCUGAAUGUUUCAUUGUUAAAUUAGAUUGUGUGUGUGUGUGUGUGUGUGUGUGUGUAUUUUAUAUUAACAUACAGAUGUAUGUAUUUUAGUUGCAUUUUUUUUCUUAAAAUGUUAUUUUUUCUCUUUUUCUUUUAUGUCAGGUGAUGAUAGAGCCCCUAGGGAAGCAAAACUGUCCAUGCCCUUGCCUUAACUUUCAGAUACGAUAAAAACAACAUUUAUAAAAUACCUGUCUUAGAAAUAUUAGCUAAAAUUAUGUUGGGGAAAGUAUGUUUGAAAAUAGAAUUGUAAGCUACCACAUUGUGAUAAAUAUUACUAAAUUUGUUUAUUGACUUGUCAGGAAGCAAAAGAAUGAAUUAAAGAAAACUCCAGAGAAUGAGCUGACAACCUACUCCCUGGUCAGUGGCUCUCCAUGCCUACCUGUGGUCUCUUGGACACCCUUGCAGGAGAUGACUUCCUGGGAACUCUUCUGGGAGUGAAUGUUAUCAGCAAAUUCCCAAAACAACACCCCUUAGACAAAAAGCCUCCUCACCUAUGCAUUGCCUAGACCACCCACUAAAGGUGAUGGCCACAAAGAGGUGGAUUUGUUGAGUUGGUGCCAUUCCUUCUACUGCCAGCUUCACCAAAACAAUGACACAGUCUUCCUUCCGCAUGGAGACUCUUCUCUUUCCUGUGUUGCAGUGGAUGCCUCCUGCAGAUAAGAAAUGCUUAACUGAGAAAUGCUCAUGUUGGGAUAUCAUCGAUGAGACUUUAAUUUGGGCAUGGUGACUGUUUCCCUUGCUGCCACUUGACUCAAUCCCAGGAGCCUCAGUAGAGGAUAUAAUAUUACACAAGAUGCUCAAAAUGGUGGAAUUGCUCAGUGCUCCCAUAAAUAUACAUUUAUAAUUUUCAUUUGCCACAUGGUAAACUGAAAAAUACAGACUAUAUUAAAAAGAAACUGCAUGAUUUUUUUUCAAAAAUUCAAAGCAUAUUUAAAUAAUAUAUAAAUUAAAUGCCCUCCUCUCUUCCAAUUCUGUCCCUAUAGUUUUCCUCUAUUAAGUGAACUACAUGCAUUCUUUUAGUGGAUAGAUGCACACAAACACACAAGCCAUUAUGGGGAAGGAUCCACGUGUGUGGCCAUAUUGUAACACAUUUUUCUGCAAAUCACCUCUUUCAUUUAACAGCCCUUAUUCAAUGGCCUUUUUCUUUUUCAGUAGUACAUACACAUCUGUGUCAUUUGUUGAAUGACGACAUGAAUGUUUUGUAGAUAAAAUAUAAUUAAAUGUUUUAAGCAUUUCUCACUCAUAGAUAUUUAUGUUAGCACCAAAUUUCUGUGCAAUGAACCUCCCUAUAUAUCAGUAAUUUUGCAUUUGUCUAUAAUAUCAUAAUAAAUUACUUAUCAGUUGAAUUACUGGGAUUAAGUAUGUGCACACUUUAUAUUUAUAUUUUGAAAAUUAUUGCAAGAUUGCCUUCAAAAAUGUGGUUAACAACUUUAUCUUCAAAUGGCAAUGAAUGAGAUUGCCAGCUUUCCUACAGCCUCACAGACAAUGGAUUUUAUAAAUAUUUAACAUUUUUGCCAAUGUGAUCACCCAAACUAUUGUCUUAAAUUGUAUCUCUUUUGUUUUUGAGUUUGGUCAUUUUUUCAUGUUUAUUAGCCAUCUGUAUUUUUUAAUUUCUUCUUUAUGUCCAAUUUUGUGGGUGGGAGGAGGAUUUAGUCUCUUCCUGAUUUCGAAGAGCUCAUUUACUAUUUCGGGAAAUAAGAUUUGGAUUGUCAACCAUUAUAGCUAUUUUUUACACACUUUUCAACUUUGUUUUUGUUAUAAGAAUGUGUAUGAUUGUUACAUGUCCAAGUAUAACCAUGUUCGCUUUUAUGGCUUCUGAGUUUCAUGUCAUUUUUGGAAAGAUAUAUAUAUUGAGUCCAUAAAACCCUUCACCUAUGUUAAAUUCUAAUUCUUUUGUGUUUUUUUAAUUCAAAUUCUUAAAUCAUGAGAAAUUUUUUUGUUUUGAAAUCUUAAAGUUGCCAAGUUACUUGCCAUUACUUGCGAUUAUUUGCCAAUAAUUGCCCAUUUAUCUGUACCGCCAUCUUGCGCAUAUGCUGUACUCUCAUCUGUGACUGGCUCCAUUUUUGUUCUGUGGAUUUGUGUGUCUCUUCUUCUGCCUCCUGUCUCGUGUCUGCUCGUUGGAAGAAAUUACAGUUUAGACUGCAAUUUCAUCAACUUUAAUAAAUCAAUUGAGGGGAGAAUUGGUUUUUAAAAAUAUUAAGUAAGUCUUCGUAUCCAAGGACAAGGUAUGUCUUUUCUUAUUCAAUAAUUUUAAUUACUGUUAAUAUUUUCACUGUGGUGAUGGGAGUUUUUCUUUUAAUUUAUUUUCUUGUUCAUUUUUUGUAUCUAAAGUUUUUGUUUUGUUUUGUUUUGGGGGUAAGUUGUCACCUUACUGUUUCUUGUUGCUUUUCAGAUUUUUUCAAAGUAUAGACUAAAUCCUUCACAAAUAUUUAAAGUUUUUAUUUUCCCCCUUCAUAUUGAUCCUGAUUUUAGUUAUGUUGACAAAGUCCACAGACUGUUACUAUCAGAACACUUGAACAGUUAUGGAAAUAUUACCUACCCUUGAUUUAAUCAGAGUUUAAUGGUAUGCUUCUUUGGUUUGACUGGCACAUUGUCGCUGGUCAUUUCCUCCCAAAGACCACCAGAAAGAGCUAUGAUCAAGCAAAGCUGAGUUUGUUAAACUUACCUGCAGCAAGGGAAAACACCACCUUGAUAGGGUUUAAUAAUGUUUCAAAAUCAAGAAAUGAGGCUUUGGGGUCUGGGCAGGGAACUAAUUAGAAAUGGGCAAAAUUUGUCAUGCAAUACCUUGUGGGAAAGUGAGAUGAGGUUCUUAAUGUGAGUAUUGAUGGUGAAAUCAUUUUCUAGGUGAGCUGUUUGCCUAUAUAAAGAUGUUAUCAAUGACAGAAGAACUAUUUGCCUAGAUAAACAAACUGAAUUUAUUUAUUGGUUUACAGUUUUAUCUUGCUGGGCAGGACUCUGCUGGGGGUGGUAUCAGGUCUUAUUCCCAAUAGGUAAGUUAUUUGGAUAUGGGUGGUCUUAAUCAUCAAUGUGUAAAAUGCUGAUUUUAAGUGCGAAAUACUUUGUCUACCAUGUUAGGAAAGUCUGCCACCUUUUAUCUUUUUUAAGGAAUUUUAAUCAAAACCAGGUGGUAGAUAUAAUCAAAUUGUUUUGCAGAAUCAAUUUUCCUGUUCUCUUUAAAGACUUUUAUCACUGUGAAUUAAUUUACUAUUAUUGCAACUUCCUUUAAUUCCUUGAAUGAACAGACCCUACUGGUUUUAAAAAUGUUUUAUUCUUUUAAUUUACUACUUAAUUGUGGGUAUUUUAAUUUGAUUUGGAAUUUUUACAAGUAUACAACUAAGUGAAAUUGAUCUGUGAUUUUUCUUUUUUGUGCUAUUUUUGUCAUGUUUUGAUAUCAGAUAUUCUGGUUGUGUUAAAAUAAUUUUGAGGAUUUUCUUCUUAUACUGUGUUCUAGAGUGGGUAAAAAAGCCCUAGUCUCACUAUCAGUGUUUAAGUGAACACAUCAGUGACAUCAUCUGGACUCUCCUUUGUUUUUGCUGGUUUGGAGUUAGGACAUCUAGAAGUUUUUUUCUUUUUUUCCUUUUUUUGUAUGGUUAUUGCUUGUUCUUUGUUUUGUGUCAAAUUUAACCUGUUUUCUCUUAGCAAAUCACAGCUCAUGCAGAUUUUCAAACACAUUAGCCUUGUUAUACAAAGUGUUCUUUCAUCAUUCUAUUAAAUUUCCAUUUUCAUUCCAGUUAUAGUUAUUUCUGCUGUGCCUUUGUUAAUGAAUAAGUUUAAACAGUGGAUGUUUAGCAUCACUAGCCUUCCCCUUCCAUCUCCCUUAAUCAGGACCUUGGUAUAAUUUAUCAGGUAUUUUUUAAGGUUCUAAUUUACUUAUAUAUAUUGUUUCUGUAUUCUUUUGUUUCUUUUCUUAAUAAAUUCUUAAACCUGUGUA
Molecule: long non-coding RNA, 5186 nt
Filed under: Homo sapiens (human)
Lineage: Eukaryota; Metazoa; Chordata; Mammalia; Primates; Hominidae
Description: long non-coding RNA NONHSAT170556.1
Source: RNAcentral